RNAcentral lists this ribosomal RNA (460 nucleotides) under uncultured bacterium. RNAcentral's name for it is "partial 16S ribosomal RNA". It matches the Rfam family "Bacterial small subunit ribosomal RNA", at positions 338 to 795 of the family's 1533-position model. The record is from RNAcentral.
CCUACGGGGGGCUGCAGUGAGGAAUAUUGGUCAAUGGACGAGAGUCUGAACCAGCCAAGUAGCGUGAAGGAUGACUGCCCUAUGGGUUGUAAACUUCUUUUAUAAAGGAAUAAAACGAGGCACGUGUGCCUUUUUGCAUGUACUUUAUGAAUAAGGAUCGGCUAACCCCGUGCCAGCAGCCGCGGUAAUACGGAGGGUCCGAGCGUUAUCCGGAUUUAUUGGGUUUAAAGGGAGCGUAGAUGGGUUGUUAAGUCAGUUGUGAAAGUUUGCGGCUCAACCGUAAAAUUGCAAUUGAUACUGGCAGUCUUGAGUACAGUUGAGGUAGGCGGAAUUCGUGGUGUAGCGGUGAAAUGCUUAGAUAUCACGAAGAACCCCGAUUGCGAAGGCAGCUUACUAAACUGUGACUGACAUUGAUGCUCGAAAGUGUGGGUAGCAAACAGGAUUAGAUACCCGGGUAGUC